UUGUACUGAAACCAGUACCAUACAGAACCUUCAAUGGGGGAAAAGAAUAUAGGAAAAAGAUAUGAAGGAUCUUGGUGUUGUAUGAAAUUAAUAUAAAUAUAUAACUCAUAGUUGGCACAUCCAUAUUAAGGUAGGACAUGGAGUAAAAGUGUAGUUUCUGACUUCCAGAAGCUCCCUUGCAUGUCUGUGGUGUCAUUAUGUCAGGUCACAUGACCCAGACUGUCCAAUCAAAAGCAAACUAGGUGAAACAUCAUAGGCGGUAAGGCUCUGAUGCCUUCCUGAAUUCAAGUCCUCUCCUUGACUGGCCUUAAUUUCUUUGGUCCAAUUAUAUGUAGGAUGGGCCCCUGGCCACUUGUAAAGUGGUUCAGGCAGAUUGGGAAUAUAGGACUGGAUGAAUCAGCAGUACAGCUUUAGUGUUCAACAAGGAUCUCAUGAGACUGUCUGCCCCACAUUCUUUCACUACUGGAGCCUUUGUCUCAGGAAACACUCUGUCUGGGACCCAAGAUAGCCAUGAAUAAUAACACCUGAUGAAUUUUGAAGAAAGAGAAGACCUACACAUGGCAGAAAUGGAGAUCAAUGUAUUCUAGGAUUGAGAGAUGGUAUAUGUGUAUAGAGGCA
Monodelphis domestica (gray short-tailed opossum) is the source of this 618-nucleotide long non-coding RNA. RefSeq lists it as uncharacterized. Lineage: Eukaryota; Metazoa; Chordata; Mammalia; Didelphimorphia; Didelphidae. The record is from RefSeq and is a predicted model, not a curated record.